ACGAAGGGGGCUAGCGUUGUUCGGAUUUACUGGGCGUAAAGCGCGUGUAGGCGGGCCAUUAAGUUGGGGGUGAAAUCCCGGAGCUCAACUCCGGAACUGCCUCCAAAACUGGUGGCCUGGAGCAGAGGAGAGGCGAGCGGAAUUCCGAGUGUAGAGGUGAAAUUCGUAGAUAUUCGGAGGAACACCAGUGGCGAAGGCGGCUCGCUGGACUCUUGCUGACGCUGAGACGCGAAAGCGUGGGGAGCAAACAGGAUUAGAUACCCUGGUAGUCCACGCUGUAAACGAUGGGUGCUAGUUGUCGGCAGGCAUGCCUGUCGGUGACGCAGCUAACGCAUUAAGCACCCCGCCUGGGGAGUACGGCCGCAAGGUUA
RNAcentral lists this ribosomal RNA (371 nucleotides) under uncultured bacterium. Its description in RNAcentral is "bacterial SSU rRNA". It matches the Rfam family "Bacterial small subunit ribosomal RNA", at positions 525 to 896 of the family's 1533-position model. The record is from RNAcentral.